CCUCGGUCGGCUCGGGCGUCGGGGUGCGGGGGUUCGCGGAGGCCUCGAGGAGGUCCGCUGCCGAUUCGCCGUCGGCGGUCGCGGUGUCGGUCGGGGUC
RNAcentral lists this transfer RNA (98 nucleotides) under Curtobacterium pusillum. RNAcentral describes it as "tRNA-Arg". The record is from RNAcentral. Lineage: Bacteria; Bacillati; Actinomycetota; Actinomycetes; Micrococcales; Microbacteriaceae.